This is a non-coding RNA of Vicia faba (fava bean), 294 nucleotides long. The record is from the annotation of a GenBank genome assembly. NCBI's taxonomy places the organism in Eukaryota, Viridiplantae, Streptophyta, Magnoliopsida, Fabales, Fabaceae.
AUGUCUUUUAUUGGAAGGAGAGAGAGAGUUAACAUUGACUAUAACUUUGUGAAUAAUGUAUUUAAUUGCUAUGGUUUUCUAAAGAGCCUCGCCGACAUUACCAUACUCGCUAGACGAUCUAUUGACACAAACACUGUCUUUCAUCUGCAAACAUCGACGAAAGUGCGUGUUUGUUGUUAUUUUACUAGAAGAUUCAUAUCCAUAUGUUGGGUUAUGAUGCAACUUCAGUUUAGAUUUUCACCGAUAGUAUUUGUUAGUUUUCAGAGUUUUGGUUUUCUUGAAAGAUACAAUUGA